RNAcentral lists this ribosomal RNA (301 nucleotides) under uncultured bacterium. RNAcentral's name for it is "partial 16S ribosomal RNA". It matches the Rfam family "Bacterial small subunit ribosomal RNA", at positions 509 to 807 of the family's 1533-position model. The record is from RNAcentral.
CAGUAGCCGCGGUAAUACCGAGGGUGCGAGCGUUAAUCGGAUUUACUGGGCGUAAAGCGUGCGUAGGCGGCUUUUUAAGUCGGAUGUGAAAUCCCUGAGCUUAACUUAGGAAUUGCAUUCGAUACUGGGAAGCUAGAGUAUGGGAGAGGAUGGUAGAAUUCCAGGUGUAGCGGUGAAAUGCGUAGAGAUCUGGAGGAAUACCGAUGGCGAAGGCAGCCAUCUGGCCUAAUACUGACGCUGAGGUACGAAAGCAUGGGGAACAAACAGGAUUAGAUACCCGCGUAGUCCCUGUCUCUUAUAC